AAUUGCUAACGCAGCAACACUGAUAGAGUUGUUGAAAAAUUUGACGUCUGAAAAUUCAGUGCAAUAUUUUUUCUGGCUCGGUGUCACGUCCGUCGAAAAUCAAAGUGGAUGUCUUUGAACAGUUAAGCGCUUUAAUGACUAUUGAAGAUGCAUAAAUAAAUAAACCGGUUAAUGCAGACACCUCCUCUGAACUUCUUUUUUCCUGUGCCCCCACUAUAGAAUCGUCGACCAACAAGUAAUGUCUUUAAGGUGUCGUUUUGAGUUUUGACAUCCAGGGGAACUCUGAGCCCAGGCACGUGAACAUCGACGAGACCUCAAUGCCAUCACCAAAUUCUUCUAGGGUAGUCAAUGAGCCAAUGGCACCACCGAUAAUGGCACUGGAGUCGUUAUAUGACCGCAUCUUCCGACCCAAAAAGCACAGUCAUAUGAACCAUGUGGAUGUGUAUGAUUCUAAUCUGCCAACUUCCGUGGUGCCGUCGUCGGAAGCAGAGCAGAGCAGAGGAGCAGAGGUCAGAAGAAAUCCAAACGUCCACCUCAAGAAGAGUCCUUGAAGAGGUUGAUAUGCUGUUGGGCCUAGCUAGAGACCAUGAAAGAAACGGGACGUCCUGUUUAACCUGUUAAAGCCCAAAAAUCUUACCACGCAGGCAAAGGAUGUUACAAAAAAGCCUCAUAUGAUAUUUUAAGAAUUACCUGGCAAAGUCGAUGAUGCGGAGCCGCAGUUGAGAAAACGUGUGCACGAUGAAUUGAUUCGCUUUGGCGUUUGGUGGGACGUUGAGGACAUCGAGGACUUCGAGGAAGUUUUUGACCAAUAUAUGACGGAGAAUACAAUCCAAACGACCCCUUGCCAAGUGGAACCAGCAAUAAGGCGAGCGUUUGGGCAGAACGUUGGUGCUUCCGCCCUUACCAGUUCAUCUGGAGUAGUGCCUCCAGAUGACCAUGUAAGGGCGGAUGCACCAACGUUAUCCCCAAAUGCUUCGCCGACUUGGCGUCAUAUUGCUCAUUCCACUUGGCCAAGAGUCGUUUGGCUUGCGGAACCUUUUUUCCGUCAUAUAGUGGUCAAAACUCUCCUCCAAGUCCUCGACGGUCUAAGACGUCCCACUAAACGUCAAAGCGAGUCCUAUCGGUUGCACAUUCAAAUGAAGUUUUGCAAACUGUUCUGCAUCUUGCAAAUAAACAGAAAUUUGGAUAUUGAUAUGGUUUCAAGAGCCUGGAUAACACCGUUUACAAUAGCUACAUAUAUGUGAUCAUGGUUUGUAAGCACAUGUUGGGAACGUUCCAAGUGUUUGCCAUGACCACGGUCUCAGCCGGUAUCGAAACCUCGAAGUCAAAAACAAACCGAUAUAUAAUCCAGCCUUAGAAUUACAAUGAAAGAAAUCGAAGAGAAAAGAAGAAGUAACACUAUAGUCGAGUGCUUUGG
Drosophila subpulchrella is the source of this 1417-nucleotide long non-coding RNA. RefSeq lists it as uncharacterized. NCBI's taxonomy places the organism in Eukaryota, Metazoa, Arthropoda, Insecta, Diptera, Drosophilidae. The transcript has 3 exons. The record is from RefSeq and is a predicted model, not a curated record.